CUGGUGUGUGGUGGAUGCCUAGGCACUGAGAGGCGAUGAAGGACGUAGCUACCUGCGAUAAGCCAAGACUAGCUGGAAGCAAGCUUAAUCUUGGAUUUCCGAAUGGGGAAACCCCACUAGGUCAACCCUAGUGAUCUUCAGCUGAAUACAUAGGCUGUUGAGGCAAACCGAGGGAAUUGAAACAUCUUAGUACCUCGAGGAACAGAAAACAAACAGUUAUUCCGUCAGUAGCGGCGAGCGAAAGCGGAGAAGCCCAAACCAUGCGUAUGUCACAGGUCGUAACCGUUGUGCGCGUGGGGUCGAGGGACGUAUUUUAAGAGUAUUACGAGGCUCUUGAGAAGUUACAAAUCUAUCUUUUAAACGAAUUCUGCUGGAUAAGCAGAGCCAUAGAGGGUGAUAGCCCCGUAGUUGAAAAAAGCAUAGACUUCUUUAAUACGCUCCCAAGUAAUGCGGGACACGAGAAACCCCGUAUGAAUCUAGCAGGACCAUCUGCUAAGGCUAAAUACUACUCAGUGACCGAUAGUGUACCAGUACCGUGAGGGAAAGGUGAAAAGCACCCCGAGAGGGGAGUGAAAUAGUUCCUGAAACCACAUACUUACAAUCAGUAGGAGGGCGAUGUCUUCGGACCGCCUGACUGCGUGCCUUUUGCAUAAUGAACCGGCGAGUUACUUUUUGUUGCAAGGUUAAGGGCUUAUGGUCCAGAGCCGAAGCGAAAGCGAGUCUUAAUAGGGCGUAUAGUAGCAAGGAGUAGACCCGAAACCGAGUGAUCUAUCCAUGGCCAGCGUAAAGUCCGAGUAAAAUCGGAUGGAGGCGCGAACCAGUAUCAGCUGAAAAUGAUUUGGAUGAGCUGUGGAUAGGGGUGAAAGGCCAAUCAAACUCGGCAAUAGCUGGUUCUCUUCGAAAUAGUUUUAGGACUAGCGUCGUGUGGUAGCAAGCGGGGGUAGAGCACUGGAAGGGCUAGGGGUCUCACCAGAUUACCGAACCCUACCAAACUCCGAAUACCGCUUGUGGAAUCACGGCAGUCAGACUGCGGGGGAUAAGCUCCGUAGUCGAAAGGGAAACAGCCCAGACCGUCAGCUAAGGUCCCUAAUAUGUACUAAGUGGGAAAGGAUGUGCAAAUGCCCAGACAACCAGGAUGUUGGCUUAGAAGCAGCCAUUCAUUUAAAGAGUGCGUAAUAGCUCACUGGUCAAGUGAUUGUGCGCCGAAAAUGUAACGGGGCUAAGUACAUAACCGAAGCUACGGAUGUCAUAUUUAUAUGACGUGGUAGAAGAGCGUUCCCAACCGGGUUGAAGCCAUACCGUAAGGAGUGGUGGACUGUUGGGAAGUGAUCAUGCCGGUAUCAGUAACGACAAGAGGGGUGAGAAACCCCUCCGCCGAAAAUCUAAGGGUUCCCGUGUCAAGCUAAUCUGCGCGGGGUUAGUCGGACCCUAAGCCGAGGCCGAAAGGCGUAGGCGAUGGAAAACAGGCACAAAGAUUCCUGUACCACUAUCUGUUCGUUUGAGCGAUGGGGUGACGCAGGAGGAUAGGACACCCAACUGUUGGAUUAGUUGGGGUAAGCGUGCAGGAGGUAGCCCAGGCAAAUCCAGGCUACAUAACUCCAAGGCGUUAUGCGACGUGAAUCCUUCGGGUGAAGCGGAUUGUUUGAUUCCACACUGCCAAGAAAAACCUCUAGUGAGAACAGAAGUGACCGUACCAAAACCGACACAGGUGGAUGAGAAGAGUAUUCUAAGGCGCUCGGGAGAACUCCCCUUAAGGAACUCGACCAAUUAGCCCCGUAACUUCGGGAGAAGGGGUACUUAGGCUGGUGAAGGACUUGCUCCGUAAGCCGGCCCGAGUGACACUAAAGUGGCUCAUGCGACUGUUUACUAAAAACACAGGUCUCUGCAAAGUCGUAAGACGAUGUAUAGGGACUGACGCCUGCCCGAUGCCGGAAGGUUAAAGGGAGGGGUUAGGACUUCGGUCCGAAGCUCUGAACUGAAGCCCCGGUUAAUGGCGGCCGUAACUAUAACGGUCCUAAGGUAGCGAAAUUCCUUGUCGGGUAAGUUCCGACCUGCACGAAUGGCGUAACGAUGUGAGCAUUGUCUCAAGGGGAGACCCGGUGAAGUUGUAUUACCUGUGAAGAUGCAGGUUACCCGCAGAAGGACGGAAAGACCCCGUGCACCUUUACUACAGCUUGAUAUUGAAUUCGGUUUUAGUUUAUAUAGGAUAGGUGGGAGACGUUGAAACUGGCGCGCAAGUGUCGGUGGAGUCAUCCUUGGAAUACCACCUUUAUUAUAGCUUAAUUCUAACUUAGAUCCCGUGAAUCCGGGCUAAGGACAGUGUCUGGUGGGUAGUUUGACUGGGGCGGUCGCCUCCCAAAAAGUAACGGAGGCGCCCUAUGGUUCCCUCAGCACGUUUGGAAAUCGUGCGUAGAGCGUAAAGGCAUAAGGGAGCUUGACUGCGAGACUUACAAGUCGAGCAGGUACGAAAGUAGGGCUUAGUGAUCCAGCGGUUCCAUAUGGAAGGGCCGUUGCUCAUCGGAUAAAAGGUACGCCGGGGAUAACAGGCUUAUAGCGCCCAAGAGUUCAUAUCGACGGCGCUGUUUGGCACCUCGAUGUCGGCUCGUCACAUCCUGGGGCUGAAGCAGGUCCCAAGGGUUGGUCUGUUCGCCCAUUAAAGUGGCACGCGAGCUGGGUUUAGAACGUCGUGAGACAGUUCGGUCCCUAUCUGCCGUGGGCGUUUGA
This 2724-nucleotide ribosomal RNA is filed under the name seawater metagenome. Its description in RNAcentral is "bacterial LSU rRNA". It matches the Rfam family "Bacterial large subunit ribosomal RNA". The record is from RNAcentral.